This 451-nucleotide ribosomal RNA is filed under the name uncultured bacterium. RNAcentral describes it as "partial 16S ribosomal RNA". It matches the Rfam family "Bacterial small subunit ribosomal RNA", at positions 354 to 796 of the family's 1533-position model. The record is from RNAcentral.
GUGGGGAAUAUUGGACAAUGGGGGCAACCCUGAUCCAGCCAUGCCGCGUGUGUGAAGAAGGCCUUUUGGUUGUAAAGCACUUUAAGCGAGGAGGAGGCUUACCUGGUUAAUACCUGGGAUAAGUGGACGUUACUCGCAGAAUAAGCACCGGCUAACUCUGUGCCAGCAGCCGCGGUAAUACAGAGGGUGCAAGCGUUAAUCGGAUUUACUGGGCGUAAAGCGCGCGUAGGUGGCUAAUUAAGUCAAAUGUGAAAUCCCCGAGCUUAACUUGGGAAUUGCAUUCGAUACUGGUUAGCUAGAGUAUGGGAGAGGAUGGUAGAAUUCCAGGUGUAGCGGUGAAAUGCGUAGAGAUCUGGAGGAAUACCGAUGGCGAAGGCAGCCAUCUGGCCUAAUACUGACACUGAGGUGCGAAAGCAUGGGGAGCAAACAGGAUUAGAAACCCUGGUAGUCC